AACCUGGGAACUGCAUUCGAAACUGGCAGGCUUGAGUCUUGUAGAGGGGGGUAGAAUUCCAGGUGUAGCGGUGAAAUGCGUAGAGAUCUGGAGGAAUACCGGUGGCGAAGGCGGCCCCCUGGACAAAGACUGACGCUCAGGUGCGAAAGCGUGGGGAGCAAACAGGAUUAGAUACCCUGGUAGUCCACGCCGUAAACGAUGUCUACUUGGAGGUUGUGCCCUUGAGGCGUGGCUUCCGGAG
This 241-nucleotide ribosomal RNA is filed under the name Salmonella enterica. RNAcentral describes it as "partial 16S ribosomal RNA". It matches the Rfam family "Bacterial small subunit ribosomal RNA", at positions 611 to 851 of the family's 1533-position model. The record is from RNAcentral. Lineage: Bacteria; Pseudomonadati; Pseudomonadota; Gammaproteobacteria; Enterobacterales; Enterobacteriaceae.